CCGCAAUGGACGAAAGUCUGACGGAGCAACGCCGCGUGAGUGAUGAAGGCUUUCGGGUCGUAAAACUCUGUUGUUAGGGAAGAACAAGUGCUAGUUGAAUAAGCUGGCACCUUGACGGUACCUAACCAGAAAGCCACGGCUAACUACGUGCCAGCAGCCGCGGUAAUACGUAGGUGGCAAGCGUUAUCCGGAAUUAUUGGGCGUAAAGCGCGCGCAGGUGGUUUCUUAAGUCUGAUGUGAAAGCCCACGGCUCAACCGUGGAGGGUCAUUGGAAACUGGGAGACUUGAGUGCAGAAGAGGGAAAGUGGGAAUUCCAUGUGUAGCGGUGAAAUGCGUAGAGAUAUGGAAGGAACACCAGUGGCGAAAGGCGACCUUUCUGGUCUGUAACUGACACUGAGGCGCGAAAGCGUGGGGAGCAAACACGAGUAGAUACCCUGGGUAGUCCACGCGUAAACGAUGAGUGCUAAGUAGUUAAAGGGUUCCGCCCUUUAGUGCUGAAGUCAACGCAUAAGCACUCCCCCUGGGGAGUACGGCGCAGGCUGAAACUCAAAGGAAAUGAACGGCGGGCCGCCCUAUCGUCGAGCAAUGUGGUUG
Molecule: ribosomal RNA, 594 nt
Filed under: Bacillus sp. T2(2016)
Lineage: Bacteria; Bacillati; Bacillota; Bacilli; Caryophanales; Bacillaceae
Description: bacterial SSU rRNA
Rfam family: Bacterial small subunit ribosomal RNA
Source: RNAcentral